Molecule: ribosomal RNA, 300 nt
Filed under: uncultured Acinetobacter sp.
Lineage: Bacteria; Pseudomonadati; Pseudomonadota; Gammaproteobacteria; Moraxellales; Moraxellaceae
Description: bacterial SSU rRNA
Rfam family: Bacterial small subunit ribosomal RNA
Source: RNAcentral
GCUUAGGAAUCUGCCUAUUAGUGGGGGACAACAUUCCGAAAGGAAUGCUAAUACCGCAUACGCCCUACGGGGGAAAGCAGGGGAUCUUCGGACCUUGCGCUAAUAGAUGAGCCUAAGUCAGAUUAGCUAGUUGGUGGGGUAAAGGCCUACCAAGGCGACGAUCUGUAGCGGGUCUGAGAGGAUGAUCCGCCACACUGGGACUGAGACACGGCCCAGACUCCUACGGGAGGCAGCAGUGGGGAAUAUUGGACAAUGGGCGAAAGCCUGAUCCAGCCAUGCCGCGUGUGUGAAGAAGGCCUU